Molecule: ribosomal RNA, 663 nt
Filed under: uncultured Duganella sp.
Lineage: Bacteria; Pseudomonadati; Pseudomonadota; Betaproteobacteria; Burkholderiales; Oxalobacteraceae
Description: bacterial SSU rRNA
Rfam family: Bacterial small subunit ribosomal RNA
Source: RNAcentral
AUACCUGGCGGCAUGCUUACACAUGCAAGUCGAACGGCAGCACGGAGCUUGCUCUGGUGGCGAGUGGCGAACGGGUGAGUAAUAUAUCGGAACGUACCCAAGAGUGGGGGAUAACGUAGCGAAAGUUACGCUAAUACCGCAUACGAUCUAAGGAUGAAAGCAGGGGACCGCAAGGCCUUGUGCUCCUGGAGCGGCCGAUAUCUGAUUAGCUAGUUGGUGAGGUAAAGGCUCACCAAGGCAUCGAUCAGUAGCUGGUCUGAGAGGACGACCAGCCACACUGGAACUGAGACACGGUCCAGACUCCUACGGGAGGCAGCAGUGGGGAAUUUUGGACAAUGGGGGCAACCCUGAUCCAGCAAUGCCGCGUGAGUGAAGAAGGCCUUCGGGUUGUAAAGCUCUUUUGUCAGGGAAGAAACGGUGAAGGCUAAUAUCCUUUGCUAAUGACGGUACCUGAAGAAUAAGCACCGGCUAACUACGUGCCAGCAGCCGCGGUAAUACGUAGGGUGCAAGCGUUAAUCGGAAUUACUGGGCGUAAAGCGUGCGCAGGCGGUUUUGUAAGACUGUCGUGAAAUCCCCGGGCUCAACCUGGGAAUGGCGAUGGUGACUGCAAGGCUAGAGUUUGGCAGAGGGGGGUAGAAUUCCACGUGUAGCAGUGAAAUGCGU